RNAcentral lists this ribosomal RNA (468 nucleotides) under uncultured bacterium. RNAcentral describes it as "partial 16S ribosomal RNA". It matches the Rfam family "Bacterial small subunit ribosomal RNA", at positions 28 to 507 of the family's 1533-position model. The record is from RNAcentral.
GACGAACGCUGGCGGCGUGCUUAACACAUGCAAGUCGAACGGAAAGGCCCUGCUUUUGUGGGGUGCUCGAGUGGCGAACGGGUGAGUAACACGUGAGUAACCUGCCCUUGACUUUGGGAUAACUUCAGGAAACUGGGGCUAAUACCGGAUAGGAGCUCCUGCUGCAUGGUGGGGGUUGGAAAGUUUCGGCGGUUGGGGAUGGACUCGCGGCUUAUCAGCUUGUUGGUGGGGUAGUGGCUUACCAAGGCUUUGACGGGUAGCCGGCCUGAGAGGGUGACCGGCCACAUGGGGACUGAGAUACGGCCCAGACUCCUACGGGAGGCAGCAGUGGGGAAUAUUGCACAAUGGGCGGAAGCCUGAUGCAGCAACGCCGCGUGCGGGAUGACGGCCUUCGGGUUGAAAACCGCUUUCGCCUGUGACGAAGCGUGAGUGACGGUAAUGGGUAAAGAAGCACCGGCUAACUACGUG